CUGUCACCCCCAGGAAGGUGAUCCCCGUGAGAACUCAAAUAGCAGAUGCUCAUCUGGGACCCCCGCCUCCAGCCCCAGGGGAGGUUUCCUGGUCCUCACUGUGGCCGGGGCAUGGCUCCUUCACCCCGGGGCUCACCCUCGGUGUCCGUGAAGUCCAGCCGACGGUGACCCUAAGUCCUCCCUCCACUCGCCUAUGUUUGGGGAUAGCCCAUCCUUCCUGCAGGCCUUUGUCUUGGUGUCACCCUGCCUGAGCUGGCCCCAACCACAGUAGCAACAGUGAUGCUGAUGUGUGACUGCUGCCAGGAGCCUGCUCACAUGACCGUGUGGAGAAAGUUCUUUCCCUGAGGACCAUCUGGAGUGGACGCGUGCACUACCCCUCUCUGAAUACACCCUCCCCACGAGGCCCUCUGGAGCAUCCUGUAGAGCCAGCCCCUACCCAGAGACCCUGAGCCCAGAGAAUGCGCUGGGUGGUGAGCCUGGGGACGAAUGCAGAGCCCUAGGUCUCCUCUCCAGAAAGACCGGAUUUUGCCAUGUUGGCCAGGCUGGUCUUGAACUCCUGACCUCAAGUGAUCCACCUGCCUCGGCCUCCCAAAGUGCAGGGAUUACAGGUGUGAGCCACUGCACCCGGCCUCAGGCAGGUAUUUUUACCAGCCGAAUACUCUUGCACUGUGCACUCUUCGUGUUCAUCAUCAGUCCCCCGGAUGGGUGUUUAAGGCAUUUCCAAAGCUCUGUUAUUAAAAACACGAUGCAAUGAGUUUCUUUCAGCAUUUCCCCUUGUU
This 779-nucleotide long non-coding RNA is filed under the name Homo sapiens (human). RNAcentral describes it as "non-protein coding LINC01503:16". Lineage: Eukaryota; Metazoa; Chordata; Mammalia; Primates; Hominidae. The record is from RNAcentral.